AGUUGUCCUUCAUAAACUCGAUGGAAGCUACCGCGGCGCGGAUUGAAGCCAAUCGCAGCCGAGCCAAUCUGUUGGAGAGCGUGUUACGGGAACUCGACAAAAUGUUGAGGGCUGUCAACCCUACGCCCCGACGACCGUCGUCUAAUUUUUAUAUAUAAUCAUUAUCUUUCGUCUCUUUCAGGAAUAUGAACAAGGUGUGGGUAAAUGAGACCCGACGAAGCACCGCGAAGAGUGACCAUGUUCUUCAUCGAAGAACGCAACAGCGGCACGAGGAGCUACAACGCCUCGCGGGUCAACGGAGUAGCCGCGGUGUUCACCGACGAGAACGGCUUGCCACCAGCGCAAGUGGAUUUCGCGGUUUACGACGGCGCACACUGUCGACGAGGUCGCCACACAUCCGUCUGAUAGCAUUCCCGUUAUUCUUUCCGAACGGCGAAAGAGGAUGGAACCAACACAUGGGACAGACGGGCCCGUGGUGAACGACCAACAGAGAACACGUGUUCAUCAGACAGUUAAUGUGCUCUUCGGUGCCGGGGUGCGCACAAUGCUCACGGAAUUCUUCCAACUGAACAGGAAUGACGCCGACGCCGGCUCUGGGCAUUUUACGAGAUGAUCGCCGUGGAGGGCGUGUAUGCGAGAAGCUUCCGUUCACGACACGUCGCAUCAGUUGAGAUGUCUGUUCGUCACGAUACUCCUAUGUUGUUCGACCAACGACUCGCUGAAACUUUACGACGAGUUUUAAGAUAAUUUAAUGGAAUAUUACUUCAGACGACACGCAUACCGCGACACAACAGAAGCCAUGUGUCUGGCUGCUAAGGAACGUCACCUGGCCGCUUCAAACAAGACGCUCACGGGUUACGGUUUAUCCGAGCCGGAUCGCGCUCUGUUGGUACCGGACACGCCGACCGACAAGGCGACGAAGACGGUAACGGCGACAGACGUCGCUCAAUUGGUCGGUCAACUAAACGAACAACAAUGAACGAUGUACGAUCGCGUAAUGCGGGCGGUCGAAGACACCAGGCGUCCAUUGCCCAAGUUGUUCGACGUUUCCGGAGCCGGAGGUUGCGGCAAGACUUUCCCGUACAACUGUUUGAUUUCGUCCAUCCGGAGCCGCAGAGGGACCGUGAUUUCCGUGGAUUAUACUGGGAUAGCUGCGUCGUUGAUCCGGAGCGGACAGACCGUUAGUGUUCUGCACAUUAAUGCGCGACUAUUGAAGUUUACGUACAUUUUGUUUCACAAUAACCCCAUACAUUUACUUACAGGUUCAAUCUACGUUUUGCGUAAGGGUGGUGUUAGGGGCUUGUUAAAUAGUUGAGGAUCUUGGUCAAAACCAAGAAUCGGAAGCUACUCGACGUCUGCCCAAGUAUCGUCCCAAUCUCCUAUUAAAUGAGUUUUAAUUACCUGAAGAAGACACGGGCAAUCGUGUACCGAGCGUUCAUCGUUUCCGCCAAGCAUCAUUUCCGCCAAAUCUGAUUAAG
Molecule: RNA transcript, 1478 nt
Organism: Daktulosphaira vitifoliae (grape phylloxera)
Lineage: Eukaryota; Metazoa; Arthropoda; Insecta; Hemiptera; Phylloxeridae
Exons: 2
Source: RefSeq, a predicted model, not a curated record